GUUGGCACUAUGCUCGCUUCUCUCUCUUCUCUUAAAAUCCCCACUGCCGCCGCUCUCUCUCUUCCAGCUCCGAGAGGCCGGCUGUACCACCGCCGGCGCGAUACUCUGACGCUGCCCCGCCACUCUGAACCGGCCCACACCAUUGUAUAGAGAACCGCCCUCCGCUGCAUUCGCUUCUACCUCCGGGAGGCAAACGUCCGUCUACUUCCUCCGCGCUCACUGGACUGCCGCCGCGCCACUGUGUCGCGGCCGCACCAUUUGCCGGAGAGCCGCACUCUCCCGUAGCUCGGACAAGCGUGGACGAAGAAGUCCAACAGCAGAACACCUCACGGCGGACAUCCCCGAGGUUUAUUGGAGGGUCAGCAAAAAGGACUGAGUCUGUAUCGACUUCGACCCCGAAUUCCAGAAAAUGCAAAAUCUCCGGCGCCAAAAACUGCAGUCCUAGAAAGCCCAAACCAACUUCAACAUUUGUCCAUAGGGGAUUCCUACAAUGUUGCUCUGAAUUCCAAGAUUCCAAUAUUCGAUGAAUUCAAAGACCAUUUAUCCUAAGAUUCACACACAGACGAAAAACGACGACUGUGGUUUCUGCGUCAUCAGACUACGUGAAUGCCACAAUGGAAAGAACUUGUCGGCGAAAGAUAACCAUGUAUGUUUAACGCACUAAAGUGUGCGAUACUCUUGUCCACCACCGUCUGAAUGAUUUGAACCCUGACCGCACAGAGCUGGUGAGCUCUUCUGCUGUAUUCUGAAGAAACCAAAUGAUGGCCAUUUGUUUUGUUAUGCCGAUGAUUCAGAAGCAUAAAACUGUAGCACAUAUGGAAACCAAUUCCUUACAGAGGGGCGACACUUAGCAUUUCCUGCUUUCUGAUCACCGGUUUAUGCACCUUGGCUUUGUACAUGUUUUAAAAUUUGCUCCUCCUUUUGGCCAAAGCCUUUCAGACAUGCGCUGCAUGAAUGCUUCAGACUUCUUUCAUACUGUACUUUCAGACAUGCGCUGCCUUUCACUGCCUUUUCAUCUAAAUAAAACAAUGGCUCACAUGUCUGUUAUAUGUAAGC
Molecule: long non-coding RNA, 1056 nt
Organism: Lolium perenne
Lineage: Eukaryota; Viridiplantae; Streptophyta; Magnoliopsida; Poales; Poaceae
Source: RefSeq, a predicted model, not a curated record